UACGUAGGGUGCAAGCGUUAAUCGGAAUUACUGGGCGUAAAGCGUGCGCAGGCGGUUGUGCAAGACAGAUGUGAAAUCCCCGGGCUUAACCUGGGAACUGCAUUUGUGACUGCACAGCUAGAGUGCGGCAGAGGGGGAUGGAAUUCCGCGUGUAGCAGUGAAAUGCGUAGAUAUGCGGAGGAACACCAAUGGCGAAGGCAAUCCCCUGGGCCUGCACUGACGCUCAUGCACGAAAGCGUGGGGAGCAAACAGG
This 253-nucleotide ribosomal RNA is filed under the name uncultured bacterium. Its description in RNAcentral is "partial 16S ribosomal RNA". It matches the Rfam family "Bacterial small subunit ribosomal RNA", at positions 524 to 776 of the family's 1533-position model. The record is from RNAcentral.